GAUGAACGCUGGCGGCGUGCCUAAUGCAUGCAAGUCGAGCGAACGGACGAGAAGCUUGCUUCUCUGAUGUUAGCGGCGGACGGGUGAGUAACACGUGGAUAACCUACCUAUAAGACUGGGAUAACUUCGGGAAACCGGAGCUAAUACCGGAUGAUAUUUUGAACCGCAUGGUUCAAAAGUGAAAGACGGUCUUGCUGUCACUUAUAGAUGGAUCCGCGCUGCAUUAGCUAGUUGGUAAGGUAACGGCUUACCAAGGCAACGAUGCAUAGCCGACCUGAGAGGGUGAUCAGCCACACUGGAACUGAGACACGGUCCAGACUCCUACGGGAGGCAGCAGUAGGGAAUCUUCCGCAAUGGGCGAAAGCCUGACGGAGCAACGCCGCGUGAGUGAUGAAGGUCUUCGGAUCGUAAAACUCUGUUAUUAGGGAAGAACAUAUGUGUAAGUAACUGUGCACAUCUUGACGUUACCUAAUCAGAAAGCCACGACUAACUACGUG
RNAcentral lists this ribosomal RNA (497 nucleotides) under uncultured bacterium. RNAcentral's name for it is "partial 16S ribosomal RNA". It matches the Rfam family "Bacterial small subunit ribosomal RNA", at positions 28 to 507 of the family's 1533-position model. The record is from RNAcentral.